AGUUAGCUGGACAGUCGCUGCUUUUUAUAAGUUAUUUAUAAAAAGGGGAGGAAAGUCCGGGCUCCGCAGGGCAAAGUGCCAGGUAACGCCUGGGAGGUGAAAACCUACGGAAAGUGUCACAGAAAAUAACCGCCUAACUAACCAGUAGAGUUAGAGGUAAGGGUGAAAAGGUGUGGUAAGAGCACACCGCACGGCUGGUAACAGUUCGUGGCUGGGUAAACCCCACUUGGAGCAAGACCAAAUAGGAAUCCCAUGAGUGGCCCGCUCAGGAUUCGGGUAGGUUGCUUAAGAUGUCCAGUAAUGGCCAUCGUAGAUGAAUGACUGUCCUUGACAGAACCCGGCUUAUAGGCUAACUCUU
Molecule: RNase P RNA, 358 nt
Filed under: uncultured Entomomonas sp.
Lineage: Bacteria; Pseudomonadati; Pseudomonadota; Gammaproteobacteria; Pseudomonadales; Pseudomonadaceae
Description: Bacterial RNase P class A
Rfam family: Bacterial RNase P class A
About the family: Ribonuclease P (RNase P) is a ubiquitous endoribonuclease, found in archaea, bacteria and eukarya as well as chloroplasts and mitochondria. Its best characterised activity is the generation of mature 5'-ends of tRNAs by cleaving the 5'-leader elements of precursor-tRNAs.
Source: RNAcentral